RNAcentral lists this ribosomal RNA (775 nucleotides) under uncultured Neocallimastigales. RNAcentral's name for it is "partial large subunit ribosomal RNA". It matches the Rfam family "Eukaryotic large subunit ribosomal RNA", at positions 20 to 616 of the family's 3401-position model. The record is from RNAcentral. Lineage: Eukaryota; Fungi; Neocallimastigomycota; Neocallimastigomycetes; Neocallimastigales.
UACUAGAGUAGCACUCGCAUAUCAAUAAGCGGAGGAAAAGAAACUAACAAGGAUUCCCCUAGUAACGGCGAGUGAAGCGGGAAGAGCUCAAAUUUGAAAUCUUAAAGGGUUUCCCUUUACGAAUUGUAGUUUAAAGAAGUGUUUUCUGUUGAGGUUUUGGUAAAAGUCCUUUGGAAUAGGACAUCAUAGAGGGUGAGAAUCCCGUAUUUGACCUUUACUUUCAACUUUGUGAUACACUUUCAAAGAGUCGGAUUGUUUGGGAAUGCAGUCCAAAAUGGGUGGUAAAUUUCAUCUAAAGCUAAAUAUUGGCGAGAGACCGAUAGCGAACAAGUACCGUGAGGGAAAGAUGAAAAGAACUUUGAAAAGAGAGUUAAACAGUACGUGAAAUUGUCAAAAGGGAAGCGUUUGACACCAGUGUUGUUUUUCUGAAAAUCAAUUAAAGAACUGUUUAUGCUAAGCUGUUUAGACUUUAUCAGCUAAUCUGUUUAGUUUUGAGCUUUUCUUUAAUGCACUUUUCAGUUAACAAGUCAACAUCAAUUUCUUUUGCUGUAAAAAAGCUUGAGGAAGGUGGCUUGAGAUUCGUCUUAAGUGUUUAUAGCCUCUUGCCUAUGCAGUCGGAGAGAUUGAGGUCUGCAGCGUAGAUCCUUCGGGGCUAAAUGCAUUUGUGCUAAGUUAUAGCAUUUUAUAGACAACUUGUUGACUAUGAUUUGUCUUGUAGCUUACUCGCUUAUGUUAUUUUACCUACGCUUAGGAUGUUGAGCGCAUGUCUCUCUCU